Gymnodraco acuticeps is the source of this 794-nucleotide long non-coding RNA. RefSeq lists it as uncharacterized. NCBI's taxonomy places the organism in Eukaryota, Metazoa, Chordata, Actinopteri, Perciformes, Bathydraconidae. The record is from RefSeq and is a predicted model, not a curated record. The transcript is spliced from 3 exons.
GGGCCAACAGGUGCGUUUGUUUCCUGACCUUUCUGAAAGAGCUUUUUAGACUUUUAGUCUUUCAAUAUUGUGCUUACAUGGUGCAUAUUUCUAAAUGAAUGUUGUUAAUCAGGCGACCACAAUAAAUCCAGUGCAGGUAAAGGUCCAGCACACGUUUCCUACAAUGACAGGCCUCCAGCCUCCGGCCUCCACCUGCAGCCUCCGCCAGCAAACCUCUAUCCUGUUGACACGUGGAGAUCUCAGUGAAACAGCAAGGACCAGAAACUAACAUGUAUAUACAUAGGUGCUGUGAAAGACUGAGCAAACACACAUCAACUGAAACCUGACUGACUGUGAUGCUAAACUUCAUCCACCAGAAGGAGCUCCUCUUCCUCACUCGCCUUUGAACGCUAGGUGGUGUUAAUAAGGCUGAUGUAUGGAAACUUUGUUGGACUUCCAUAUCUACCAGGACCUGAUCCGGGGCCUCUGAGGGCCUAAGAUAUUCCCAACAUCUUUUUUAAAUAUAUAUUUUUAAAAUAUAUUUGUAGUUAUAUUUUUCAUCAGUUUUACCAAAAUAACUUGAUUUAAUUGUAUCUAAAAUAACAUUUCCAAAGAAAUAAAUCCAUCGAAUCUGCCAGUUUCUGUUGGAAUGUGAAGGGUUAAAUGAAAGAAGCUCGUCUCUGCGAGUUUCUGUGAAGAUAGGAGCUGAUUGGUGGUCCUGCUAUGAGUUCACAGAGGGCCAGCUAGGGUAACUCAACGAGAGAGCAAUGUCAAGUGACAAUACAAUUGACCAAUCAUAUCUUCCCUCUAAAUGG